This 418-nucleotide unclassified non-coding RNA is filed under the name soil metagenome. Its description in RNAcentral is "partial contains 5.8S ribosomal RNA, internal transcribed spacer 2, and large subunit ribosomal RNA". The stretch from base 1 to 120 matches the Rfam family "5.8S ribosomal RNA", at positions 35 to 154 of the family's 154-position model. The record is from RNAcentral.
GAUGAAGAACGUAGCGAAAUGCGAUAAGUAAUGUGAAUUGCAGAAUUCAGUGAAUCAUCGAAUCUUUGAACGCAUCUUGCGCUCCUUGGUAUUCCUUGGAGCAUGCCUGUUUGAGUAUCAUGAGCAAAUCUCAAAGUCAAUUCCUUUUGUUGAUUCAAUUGGUUUUGCUUUGGACUUGGAGGCCUUGCAGAUUUCACAGUCUGCUCCUCUUAAAUGCAUUAGCUGGAUCUCAGUAAUUAUGCUUGGUUCCACUCGGCGUGAUAAGUAUCACUCGCUGAGGACACUGUUAAAAAGGUGGCCAGAAAAAUACUGAUUGAACCGCUUCUAACGGUCUAUUAAGUUAGACAAUUACCCUUAAGUUUGAUCUCAAAUCAGGUAGGACUACCCGCUGAACUUAAGCAUAUCAAUAAGCGGAGGA